AGCUUGGAAUUUGAUGUAGUUUUCCUUUACGUUGGAGUAAUCAUUGUUGGCUGUUACUGCUGAAGGCCUGAAGCUUUCAUUUCGGUUGCUGUUGAAGCUUUCUUUUAUGCUGUUGCAUUCCAGUUUAAUAUAUGGGAUAUUUAGAAUGAAGUUUGCUUUUUAGUUUUGAAUGAUGAUUUGAUGUUUCAUGUUUCGAAUAUUG
RNAcentral lists this long non-coding RNA (202 nucleotides) under Linum usitatissimum (flax). Its description in RNAcentral is "long non-coding RNA (LUSI_LNC007960)". Lineage: Eukaryota; Viridiplantae; Streptophyta; Magnoliopsida; Malpighiales; Linaceae. The record is from RNAcentral.